This is a long non-coding RNA of Brassica oleracea var. oleracea, 686 nucleotides long. RefSeq lists it as uncharacterized. Lineage: Eukaryota; Viridiplantae; Streptophyta; Magnoliopsida; Brassicales; Brassicaceae. The record is from RefSeq and is a predicted model, not a curated record. The transcript has 2 exons.
GAAUUUUUUUGGGAAUUUGCGGUGGAUGACCACAAAAACAAAUUUAAUUAGGUAGAUGGAUAUGUCACUGUUGAUUUUUUCAUAAUGCCAGUAGUAACCCUAUUCUAUCUUGUAGAUAUGCAUAAACAUAAAUCUGAUACUUUUGUCUUUAUCUUUCGUGCAUGCUUCUAAAUUAACUAUAGAUUAUUAUUUUUUUGAAACAGAAGCUAACUCUUCGUCUCUUUAGCUCUCUCUCUUUCUCUCUUCUUCCUGAUGUGAUCAUUCAUCUUCCCUAAAUAAGGAAACUGUUUCUUUAUUGACGAAAAUUCUGAUGAAAUCAUGUGACAUAUCCUUUGAUUCAUCUCUCUAUAAAUGUGAAGAAUACAAGUAUUUCGCUCGCAUAUGCUCUGCCGUCGUGUUCCGUAAGCCUCUGCUCUACUCUGCCACCGUAUUCCCGUAAGCCUCUGCCUUCGCCUCUGCUGUCAUCAUUGUAAUCCUCAUUCUUCUUCUCAUUUUAUAUCUAUUCGAUGUUUGAUUUGCUUCGGCACUGCGUUUGGUGAGGAAGAAAUGCGCCUUACUGUUUUUUUUGUGUGGUUGCUUUGCUUUAUCUUCUUGUUUUUUCGUUCGUUUGAUGUGAGAAAUGUAAAAUUUGUGAUGAAUCUGAGGAACAUUAUCUAUUUUUUUCAUUUUUGUGGCUAUUAUUAGUA